This 76-nucleotide transfer RNA is filed under the name Nannocystaceae bacterium. Its description in RNAcentral is "tRNA-Glu". It matches the Rfam family "tRNA". From Rfam's summary of the family: Transfer RNA (tRNA) molecules are approximately 80 nucleotides in length. Their secondary structure includes four short double-helical elements and three loops (D, anti-codon, and T loops). The record is from RNAcentral. Lineage: Bacteria; Pseudomonadati; Myxococcota; Nannocystales; Nannocystaceae.
GACCCCAUCAUCCAGAGGCCUAGGAUGCUGGCCUUUCAAGCCGGUAACACGGGUUCGAAUCCCGUUGGGGUCGCCA